This is a long non-coding RNA of Boleophthalmus pectinirostris (great blue-spotted mudskipper), 287 nucleotides long. RefSeq lists it as uncharacterized. The record is from RefSeq and is a predicted model, not a curated record. The transcript has 4 exons. NCBI's taxonomy places the organism in Eukaryota, Metazoa, Chordata, Actinopteri, Gobiiformes, Gobiidae.
CUGAUUUCAUUGUCACAGUCAUCUGAAGACUUGGAGUUGUGUAACCAUGUGGAAGGUAACUCUUAUUCUUGGAUGUCUUUUGACUCUGACCCUGGCUUCUCCUGUUAAAAAGGAGCGACGCCUGGCUCGCUCUUUUUCUGAUUCAAAUGAGAUGCACCGUUUUUCGCUUAAUCAAAUCCUGUUCCAGAUCCUGUAUAAUUUACUUACCACAACUACUACUACAGCAACUGCUACCACUCCAAUUCCCCAAACUCCUCCAAUUGGGGGAAAAGGUUAAUGUAACAAUG